CACAAGUGCCUCAAUACCCAGAAGGAAGUACCAAAGUGUACCCUACAAGGACAGACAUGUAAAGAACAACCCAUGUGCAAUCAAGGCAAACCUAGCAUUAACUAACAUUGAACCUCUCUCUUGGAGGACUGUUCACAUGAGCACCCUUGGGAAGGACCUGGACAUCAGAUGCUCUAAGCUGACAGUCAACUGAAAGGCACAGGCUACUCAAGAUGCUCAGAGAGGAGACCAUGAAAGCUGGAGUCCCGGCAGAGUGGAUCCUGGCUCCUAGGAUGAAGGGGAGCUGCCGGGUUGUAUCUGGUACAGACUCCCACCAAAGAAAAUGAAACAUUUCUCUACACUUUUAGUCACAAAGGCCCAAGGAGAAAUACACAGUCUUCCUCCUGGAUGUCUGUCAGUUUUAUUCUUCUGACCUCAACCUUUGGCAGGAGCCAGCCAACAUGGAAAAGCAUACUCGGAAAUAACCAAAGAGAAUCUUUCUGCCAGCCUCCUGCUCAGAGGAGACCCAGGCUCUCACUUCUUUCUUUGCAUAAACCUUCACAACCUUUCUACGCUCACAAUUUGUUUACCUCGGUUUUCUCUGUAUUCCACGCCCCUGCACCAAUUCCAACUUAAGUGGCCACCAUUUUUCUACGAUUCAGGGACGAUGUGAUCAGUUACCUCAUGGACCACAGCAGAAUCUCCAGCACCAGGGAGGGCUGGCUACAGUGUGCUCCCCAGAAGCAGGCUGACACAGGAGUGUCCGGUCCACGCACCUAUCUACCCAGUGUGUGACCCAGUGACCUGCUCUAUUGCCACUUGCUUCCACAGGUGGGGCUGUGCCUGUGUUCAUCACUGUAUAAGUAGGGAAAUCCUGGUAACUCACCCAGCUCUCUGACAGUGGAAGUAGAAGAUUUGACUGAAGUACAGAGGAUCUCACUCUGCCUCAGCUGAGGUCCCUUAUUCACAAGCAGCUGGGACUCAUUCCCACCUCUGGAUGAGACACAGAAAGAUACCACAAUGAAUGCACAUUUAUAUGCGUUGCCUGGAGUGUGGAAAAUCAGGAGAGAGACUUUUGGAACUGCAUCUCUGCUGUUUCUGUGUGAGCGCGAUCCCCCUCAGCAUUGUGUAACCUCCUUCCCGAAGAAAGACCAGAAGAGGCAGCUCUGAGACUCGAGAUAGUGCUGAGCUGACCCACUCAGAGCUCUCUGAAGACAAUGUACUUGGCUGUCUGCACCAUUUAUUAAACAAUGGAAC
Long non-coding RNA from Apodemus sylvaticus (European woodmouse), 1236 nucleotides. RefSeq lists it as uncharacterized. The transcript has 5 exons. The record is from RefSeq and is a predicted model, not a curated record. NCBI's taxonomy places the organism in Eukaryota, Metazoa, Chordata, Mammalia, Rodentia, Muridae.